RNAcentral lists this ribosomal RNA (33 nucleotides) under Perkinsus beihaiensis. Its description in RNAcentral is "partial 28S ribosomal RNA". The record is from RNAcentral. Lineage: Eukaryota; Perkinsozoa; Perkinsida; Perkinsidae.
AAAUUGUCAUCAUUAGAAGGCCUGAUGUAAGGG